RNAcentral lists this ribosomal RNA (253 nucleotides) under uncultured bacterium. RNAcentral describes it as "partial 16S ribosomal RNA". It matches the Rfam family "Bacterial small subunit ribosomal RNA", at positions 524 to 776 of the family's 1533-position model. The record is from RNAcentral.
UACGUAGGGUGCAAGCGUUGUCCGGAAUUAUCGGGCGUAAAGAGCUCGUAGGCGGUCUGUCACGUCGGAUGUGAAAAUCCAGGGCUCAACCCUGGACCUGCAUUCGAUACGGGCAGACUAGAAUUCGGUAGGGGAGACUGGAAUUCCUGGUGUAGCGGUGAAAUGCGCAGAUAUCAGGAGGAACACCGGUGGCGAAGGCGGGUCUCUGGGCCGAUAUUGACGCUGAGGAGCGAAAGCGUGGGGAGCGAACAGG